CCUACGUGUGGCAGCAGUGGGGGAUAUUGCACAAUGGGGGGAACCCUGAUGCAGCGACGCCGCGUGGGUGAAGGAGCGUUUCGGCGCGUAAAGCCCUAUCGGCAGGGGAGCAGGAGGCCGGUACCUGACUAAGAAGCCCCGGCUAACUACGUGCCAGCAGCCGCGGUAAUCCGUAGGGGGCAAGCGUUAUCCGGUUUUACUGGGUGUACAGGGGGCGCAGACGGCAGCGCAAGCCGGGAGUGAAAGCCUGGGGCCCAACCCCGGGACUGCUCUUGGAACUGCGCGGCUGGAGUGCAGGAGGAGCAGGCGGAAUGCCUGGUGGAGCGGUGAAAUGCGUAGAUAUCAGGAGGAACACCGGUGGCGAAGGCGGCCUGCUGGACUGCGACUGACGUUGAGGCCCGAAAGCGUGGGGAGCAAACAGGAUUAGAUACCCCAGUAGUC
Molecule: ribosomal RNA, 441 nt
Filed under: uncultured bacterium
Lineage: Bacteria
Description: partial 16S ribosomal RNA
Rfam family: Bacterial small subunit ribosomal RNA
Source: RNAcentral